GUAGGUGAACCUGCGGAAGGAUCAUUAACCAAAAGGAUACCUUUAUGGUAUACCCCAUCCGUGUCUACAUACUCUUGUUGCUUUGGCAGGCCGUGGUCUUGACCCUGUGGGCUCUGCCUGCAUGCGCCUGCCAGAGGACCAAACUCUGAAUUUUAGUGAUGUCUGAGUACUAUAUAAUAGUUAAAACUUUCAACAACGGAUCUCUUGGUUCUGGCAUCGAUGAAGAACGCAGCGUCUGACUGACUACGUG
RNAcentral lists this unclassified non-coding RNA (250 nucleotides) under plant metagenome. RNAcentral describes it as "partial contains small subunit ribosomal RNA, internal transcribed spacer 1, and 5.8S ribosomal RNA". The stretch from base 185 to 250 matches the Rfam family "5.8S ribosomal RNA", at positions 1 to 55 of the family's 154-position model. The record is from RNAcentral.